CCCUUAGAUGUCCUGGGCCGCACGCGCGCUACACUGACCAGUGCAACAAGCAUCCGUCCUUGGCCGACAGGCUCGGGCAAUCUUUGAACGCUGGUCGUGAUGGGGAUAGACUUUUGCAAUUUUUGGUCUUCAACGAGGAAUUCCUAGUAAACGCAAGUCAUCAACUUGCAUUGAUUACGUCCCUGCCCUUUGUACACACCGCCCGUCGCACCUACCGAUUGAAUGGUCCGGUGAAGCCUCCGGAUUGGCGCGCACCUCGGUGCCGCCGAGAAGUUGGCUAAACCUUACCAUUUAGAGGAAGGUGAANUCGUANCA
This 315-nucleotide ribosomal RNA is filed under the name uncultured eukaryote. RNAcentral's name for it is "partial 18S ribosomal RNA". It matches the Rfam family "Eukaryotic small subunit ribosomal RNA", at positions 1470 to 1796 of the family's 1831-position model. The record is from RNAcentral.